RNAcentral lists this transfer RNA (72 nucleotides) under Juncus validus. RNAcentral describes it as "tRNA-Gln". It matches the Rfam family "tRNA". From Rfam's summary of the family: Transfer RNA (tRNA) molecules are approximately 80 nucleotides in length. Their secondary structure includes four short double-helical elements and three loops (D, anti-codon, and T loops). Further hydrogen bonds mediate the characteristic L-shaped molecular structure. tRNAs have two regions of fundamental functional importance: the anti-codon, which is responsible for specific mRNA codon recognition, and the 3' end, to which the tRNAs corresponding amino acid is attached (by aminoacyl-tRNA synthetases). tRNAs cope with the degeneracy of the genetic code in two manners: having more than one tRNA (with a specific anti-codon) for a particular amino acid; and 'wobble' base-pairing, i.e. permitting non-standard base-pairing at the 3rd anti-codon position. The record is from RNAcentral. RNAcentral also lists the same sequence under 1 other name. Lineage: Eukaryota; Viridiplantae; Streptophyta; Magnoliopsida; Poales; Juncaceae.
UGGGGCGUCGCCAAGCGGUAAGGCACCGGGUUUUGAUCCCGUUACGCGAAGGUUCGAAUCCUUUCGUCCCAA